Molecule: ribosomal RNA, 373 nt
Filed under: uncultured bacterium
Lineage: Bacteria
Description: bacterial SSU rRNA
Rfam family: Bacterial small subunit ribosomal RNA
Source: RNAcentral
UACGAAGGGGGCGAGCGUUAUUCGGAAUCACUGGGCGUAAAGCGUGCGUAGGCCGCUUUGUAAGUUAGGAGUGAAAGCCCAGGGCUCAACCCUGGAAUUGCUCUUAAAACUACAAGGCUAGGAUUCGGGAGAGGAUAGCGGAAUUGUCAGUGUAGCAGUGAAAUGCGUAGAUAUUGACAGGAACACCAGUGGCGCAAGCGGCUAUCUGGACCGACAUCGACGCUGAGGCACGAAAGCGUGGGGAUCAAACAGGAUUAGAUACCCUGGUAGUCCACGCCGUAAACGAUGUGUGUUUGUCGCCGGGGGGUUCCCCUUCGGUGACGAAGCUAACGCGUUAAGCACACCGCCUGGGAAGUACGGCCGCAAGGCUAAA